GAGGGUAACAACUUAGUGGUAGAGUGCAUGUUUAGCAUGCACGAGGUCCUGGGUUCAAUCCCCAGUACCUCCA
RNAcentral lists this transfer RNA (73 nucleotides) under Camelus bactrianus (Bactrian camel). It matches the Rfam family "tRNA". From Rfam's summary of the family: Transfer RNA (tRNA) molecules are approximately 80 nucleotides in length. RNAcentral also lists the same sequence under 2 other names. The record is from Rfam by way of RNAcentral. Lineage: Eukaryota; Metazoa; Chordata; Mammalia; Artiodactyla; Camelidae.